This 304-nucleotide long non-coding RNA is filed under the name Selaginella moellendorffii. RNAcentral describes it as "long non-coding RNA (SMOE_LNC000791)". The record is from RNAcentral. Lineage: Eukaryota; Viridiplantae; Streptophyta; Lycopodiopsida; Selaginellales; Selaginellaceae.
UUCAUCCAUUGUGAGCAUUUUCGCAGCAGAGAAAAGAUAUUCCAUUCCACCAGUGUGUAAACUCCUUGCCUCUCCAGUGCUGAAUCCUCUGUACGAUGCAAAGGCCGAGUCUCAGAUCAAUGCGUGGUGCGCCGAGUUUCUGAAGUUGCAACCUGGAAGCGAGAAAGCUGUGUUUGUUCAAGAAAGCAGGCUUGGAUUGCUCGCGGCUUAUGUUUACCCGACCAUUCCAUACGAGAAGAUUGUUCCGGUUGGAAAGUUCUUCGCUUGGUACUUUCUUGCAGAUGACAUUCUGGAUAGCCCGGAG